This 188-nucleotide ribosomal RNA is filed under the name uncultured rumen bacterium. RNAcentral describes it as "partial 16S ribosomal RNA". It matches the Rfam family "Bacterial small subunit ribosomal RNA", at positions 339 to 524 of the family's 1533-position model. The record is from RNAcentral.
CUACGGGAGGCAGCAGUGAGGAAUAUUGGUCAAUGGUCGGAGGACUGAACCAGCCAAGUAGCGUGAGGGAAGGCGGCCCUACGGGUUGUAAACUGCUUUUAUGCGGGGAUAAAGUGGGCCACGCGUGGCUUAUUGCAGGUACCGCAUGAAUAAGGACCGGCUAAUUCCGUGCCAGCAGCCGCGGUAAU